RNAcentral lists this ribosomal RNA (253 nucleotides) under uncultured bacterium. RNAcentral's name for it is "partial 16S ribosomal RNA". It matches the Rfam family "Bacterial small subunit ribosomal RNA", at positions 524 to 776 of the family's 1533-position model. The record is from RNAcentral.
UACGUAGGGGGCAAGCGUUGUCCGGAAUCAUUGGGCGUAAAGCGCGUGUAGGCGGCUCGGUAAGUCCGCUCUGAAAGUCCGGGGCUCAACCCCGGGAGGCGGGUGGAUACUGUCGAGCUCGAGUCCGGAAGAGGCGAGUGGAAUUCCUGGUGUAGCGGUGAAAUGCGCAGAUAUCAGGAGGAACACCGAUGGCGAAGGCAGCUCGCUGGGACGUGACUGACGCUGAGACGCGAAAGCCAGGGGAGCAAACAGG